GCUGUGGUGAAGAGGAUCGUGGAGCUCAUCGAGGAGCUUCCCGAUGACUCGUCACCCAGCGCCGUCCUCGCCCACUCCCUGGCUGCAGUGGGCAACCUCUGCACCAUGAAACCUGCCCUGGAGCCAGCCCUAGAGACCCACCUCUUGCGAGCUGCCCUUCACUCCGUCUUCACCCUGGGCAUGGAGAAGGACACCACAGGCAUCUAGGCUCUGCACAAAGUCAUCCCAGAGGUCCUGGAUGCCAUGCUGGGGAAUCUGCUGGCAGAGUCCCCAGACACAGACAAGCUCCACUUCAUCUUGGAGCAUGUCAACUUCUGGGUCAUGUCCAGGGUGUCCCAGGAACUAGUGGUGACCUAGAAUCCUAUUUUUGACCUCUCCGACUCAAGGAAUAUUUCCAACACACCUCUGAACAACAUACGAACCCACAGAGAGCUUCCUACCAAGAGUACAAAAAGAAGGA
Chelonia mydas (Green sea turtle) is the source of this 460-nucleotide long non-coding RNA. RefSeq lists it as uncharacterized. NCBI's taxonomy places the organism in Eukaryota, Metazoa, Chordata, Testudines, Cheloniidae. The record is from RefSeq and is a predicted model, not a curated record. The transcript has 5 exons.